AAAAAAAAGGAAGAAAAAAAAAAAGGAAAGAAAGCAGAAGGAGAAAAAAACACAACAGGAAAAAAACAAAACAAAAAAAAAAACACGAAAGCAGAAGGAAAGUGUUGGGGCCACACCUGCCCACGCCAGCCGUCGAGGAUCUCAGGCUCCGCCUCUCCGGUCCCACACUUGACCUUGCUCACCAGCCCAAAGGGAGAGAGAGAGGCGAGAAAGCUGGAAAGUGUGGUAUCGACCUUCCGGGGACUUCACUGACAUGUAGUGACUUUCUGACUUUGGUAACCUGACUUUCUUUACGAGGAGAUUUUUAUAUUAAAGUAAAACGACUUCCCUGCUCUAAGUAUGUUAGAGUUGUCUCCUAGCCUGCAUGACCUUGUGUAAGGCACUGUCUCCUUUCAGGGUCUGGGUUCCACGUCUGUCAGCUGUGUGUGUGUGCAUCCGGUGUCUCUCUGGCGCAUUGACUCUAAGCGAUGUACCACAAUUCUGUGCGUCGGUGUGAGAG
Molecule: long non-coding RNA, 499 nt
Organism: Pipistrellus kuhlii (Kuhl's pipistrelle)
Lineage: Eukaryota; Metazoa; Chordata; Mammalia; Chiroptera; Vespertilionidae
Exons: 2
Source: RefSeq, a predicted model, not a curated record